Molecule: ribosomal RNA, 253 nt
Filed under: uncultured bacterium
Lineage: Bacteria
Description: partial 16S ribosomal RNA
Rfam family: Bacterial small subunit ribosomal RNA
Source: RNAcentral
UACGUAGGGUGCGAGCGUUGCCCGGAUUUAUUGGGCGUAAAGAGCGCGCAGGCGGUCGUUCAAGUCGCGUGUGAAAGCCCCCGGCUCAACUGGGGAGGGUCACGCGAUACUGAUCGACUCGAAGGCAGGAGAGGGUAGUGGAAUUCCCGGUGUAGUGGUGAAAUGCGUAGAUAUCGGGAGGAACACCAGUGGCGAAGGCGACUACCUGGCCUGUUCUUGACGCUGAGGCGCGAAAGCUAGGGGAGCAAACGGG